AUGGCUGAGCAGCAGACCCCUCACAGACAGGACGGACCCAACAUGCCCGGGGGCCCAGAGCCCAAGGAGCAGGAGGCCAGCCCACCAGACCCGGGCUCAGGCUGCAGCCCCGCUCCACGCAGGGGACCCCUCAGGACCCUCCAGCUCACCGGCAUGGCACCCGUGACCUCGACCCACAGCCAUCCUCACGACCCAGCAAGCCCAGUGGCCACAGGACCCACAGAGGCCAGUGAGAUCUACUUGGGAAGAAGGAGGCUUCCAGAGUAUACUUUGCUGUUUGCUGCCUGCCUAUCCUGGGAUAUAGAUGCAAGGCCCAGAGCUGUUUCUGGAGAGGUCCUGAACCCCAGCAUCACAGCAGGGUCUCCCCGGCACCUCACACCUGAGGCCAACAUCACCACCUGCACCAUUGCUGUGCCUACACCUCCAGCAUUGCCCCCAUUUCCCAAAGACCAGGCCAGUGACCUGGAGCCCCAGCCUUUGUCCUGCUUCUUGGGAGCCCCACCGCAGACACGCCUGCCAUCCCUGCCCUCUGCCUCCCACAGCCCCACGGCCUUCCUACUCCUGGUGGCCCCAGCCCAGCCCACAUCCAUCCUCCAUGCCAUACUAGACAGAACUUUCCAGAGAAAGACCCUCAGCUUCUUCAAAGGGCACAUAGGCCAUCUUGAGUCCAUCUACAACCAAGCCACCUGCCACUCUUCUCCAGGCCCACAGCCCAGCCUGGAUCAGGGCUCUGGUUGUCCCUGUGCCUGGAGUUAUCGGGACCCGUGUCAAUGUGACUACUUUGACUACUGGGGCCAAGGAACCCUGGUGACGGUGUCCUCAGCCAGGUCCCACUUCUUGUCUGGGGCCCCACCAACAUUGUCACAAUGUGACAACUGGUUCAACUACUGGGGCCCCGGGACCCUGGUCACCGUGUCUUCAGAGACCUCAUCCCGUCCAAAUCUCUUCCCCCUCAUCACCUGUGAGAGCUCCCUGUCCGAUGAGCCCCUGGUGGCCAUGGGCUGCCUGGCCCGGGACUUCCUGCCCAGCUCCGUCACCUUCUCCUGGAACUACAAGAACAACAGUGUGGUCAACAACCAGGACAUCCAGACCUUCCCUCCAGUCCUGAGAGAGGGCAAGUACGUGGCUACCUCUCAGGUGCUCCUGCCCUCCGUGGACGUCCUCCAGGGUUCAGAUGACUUCCUCACAUGCAAUGUGAAACACCCCCAGGGCAACAGUGAGGUGAACGUGCCCAUCCCAGUGCCUUUAGAGCUGUCCCCCAACGUGACUGUCUUCAUCCCACCCCGUGACGCCUUCUCUGACAACAACCAGCGCACGUCCCAGCUCCUCUGUCAGGCAACAGGCUUCAGCCCCAAGAAGAUCUCUGUGUCCUGGCUUCGUGAUGGAAAGCCCAUCAAGUCAGGCUUCAACCCAGGCAACGUGGAGGCUGAGAACCAAGGGCCCGGGCCCGUGACCUUCAGGGUGCUCAGCACGCUGACCAUCACCGAGAAUGCCUGGCUCAGCCAGAGCGUGUUCACUUGCAAUGUGGAGCACAAUGGGCUGACCUUCAAGAAGAACGUGUCCUCCGCAUGCAUCCUCAACACGCAGGCCAGCAUCAGAAUCUUCGCCAUUCCCCCCACCUUCGCCAGCAUCUUCCAAACCAAGUCGGCCAAGCUGUCCUGCAGGGUCGUAGACCUGACCACCCGCGACAGCCUGAACAUCUCCUGGACCCGCCAGAAUGGCGACUUUCUGCCAACCACCACCAUCUUCCAGAGCAACCUCAACAACACCUUCAGUGCCACGGGGGAGGCCACCGUCUGUGCAGAGGACUGGGAGUCAGGGGAGGACUUCACCUGCACGGUGACCCACACAGAUCUGCCCUCGCCACUGAAGAAGACCAUCUCUAAACCCAAGGACGUCAACAAACAACCGCCCUCUGUCUACGUCCUGCCACCCAGCCGGGAGCAGCUGAGCCUGCGGGAGUCAGCCACAGUCACUUGCCUGGUGAAGGGCUUCUCACCCGCAGAUGUGUUCGUGCAAUGGCUGCAGAAAGGCCAACCCAUGUCCUCUGAGAGUUACGUGACCAGUGACCCGACACCCGAGCCCCAGGACCCCCACCUCUACUUUGUCCACAGCACCCUGACUGUGAGUGAGGAGGAGUGGAGCUCGGGGGAGACCUACACCUGUGUUGUGGGCCACGAGGCCCUGCCCCACAUGGUGACGGAGAGGAGCGUGGACAAGUCCACCGAGGGGGAGGUGAGCGCCGAGGAGGAGGGCUUCGAGAAUCUGAACACCAUGGCCUCCACCUUCAUCGUUCUCUUCCUCCUCAGCGUCUUCUACAGCACCACAGUCACCCUGUUCAAGGUGAAAUGACCCUCCCCGCUAAGAACUUCAGAGACCCAGAAGAUGGGACCCAGGGGGGCACCGCCUUGGGGCCUGGGGUUCCCAGCCUGCAGACCCUGUCGACUUGCACUUAAAUCCUUCCCACGUCACCCCUCCCGCUUGCCACCCAAAGACACAGGCUUCUCAAGACCAGGCCAAGUGCUGUGGACGCAGCACCGCUCUGCAGUGUGCACACAUGUCACCUUGAAAUAAAUGUGUA
Molecule: non-coding RNA, 2581 nt
Organism: Puma concolor (puma)
Lineage: Eukaryota; Metazoa; Chordata; Mammalia; Carnivora; Felidae
Source: the annotation of a RefSeq genome assembly